Molecule: ribosomal RNA, 471 nt
Filed under: uncultured Comamonas sp.
Lineage: Bacteria; Pseudomonadati; Pseudomonadota; Betaproteobacteria; Burkholderiales; Comamonadaceae
Description: bacterial SSU rRNA
Rfam family: Bacterial small subunit ribosomal RNA
Source: RNAcentral
GGAAUUGACGGGACCCGCACAAGCGGUGGAUGAUGUGGUUUAAUUCGAUGCAACGCGAAAAACCUUACCCACCUUUGACAUGUACGGAAUCCUUUAGAGAUAGAGGAGUGCUCGAAAGAGAACCUGCACACAGGUGCUGCAUGGCUGUCGUCAGCUCGUGUCGUGAGAUGUUGGGUUAAGUCCCGCAACGAGCGCAACCCUUGCCAUUAGUUGCUACGAAAGGGCACUCUAAUGGGACUGCCGGUGACAAACCGGAGGAAGGUGGGGAUGACGUCAAGUCCUCAUGGCCCUUAUAGGUGGGGCUACACACGUCAUACAAUGGCCGGUACAGAGGGUAGCCAACCCGCGAGGGGGAGCCAAUCCCACAAAGCCGGUCGUAGUCCGGAUCGCAGUCUGCAACUCGACUGCGUGAAGUCGGAAUCGCUAGUAAUCGCGGAUCAGCAUGUCGCGGUGAAUACGUUCCCGGGCCUU